This 381-nucleotide ribosomal RNA is filed under the name uncultured bacterium. RNAcentral describes it as "bacterial SSU rRNA". It matches the Rfam family "Bacterial small subunit ribosomal RNA", at positions 30 to 419 of the family's 1533-position model. The record is from RNAcentral.
AUUGAACGCUGGCGGAAUGCUUAACACAUGCAAGUCGAGCGGGCUGUAGCAAUACAGCUAGCGGCGGACGGGUGAGAAAUACAUAGGAAUCUGCCUCAGAGUGGGGGAUAGCCCGGGGAAACCCGGAUUAAUACCGCAUGAUGUCGUAAGACCAAAGCAGGGGACCGUAAGGCCUUGCGCUUUGAGAUGAGCCUAUGUCGGAUUAGCUAGUUGGCGGGGUAAAAGCCCACCAAGGCGACGAUCCGUAGCUGGUCUGAGAGGACGAUCAGCCACACCGGAACUGAGACACGGUCCGGACUCCUACGGGAGGCAGCAGUGGGGAAUAUUGGACAAUGGGCGCAAGCCUGAUCCAGCAAUUCCGCGUGUGUGAAGAAGGCCUGG